RNAcentral lists this long non-coding RNA (1015 nucleotides) under Gossypium barbadense (sea-island cotton). RNAcentral's name for it is "long non-coding RNA (GBAR_LNC018950)". The stretch from base 155 to 300 matches the Rfam family "MIR7502 microRNA precursor family". Lineage: Eukaryota; Viridiplantae; Streptophyta; Magnoliopsida; Malvales; Malvaceae. The record is from RNAcentral.
AUGCUUUGAUUCAACUAGAUAUAAAUGCGUCAAUUGAGGUAAAGUAUCAUGGAAGCUCUUGUAUUAGGAGUUGGAUUGUAUUUUGCCUUCGUUACUAAAAAAAAUGGGUAAAUUAAUCCUUACACAUUAGAUCAAAAAGCAAACCGAUCCUUUCUAUUAAAAACUUCAUUCAUUUCUAUUUUUAAAAACUAACAUGAUUUAUAGAAUAACCAGAUAGUUACAUGUGGUGUGCCACAUGUACCUCAUUUUCACGUACAAUGAUCAGUUUUUAACAGUAGAAAUAGAUGAGAUUUUUUGACAGAAGAAUCAAUUUGUUUUUUGAUCUAACAUGCUGUACAAACCCAAUAAUGCCCAGGCACAAACCAAUAAACGGGCCCAAACCAGUAACAGGCCCAACAACUAAUUUUUAGACCUUAGCCCAAAAAACAUCAAAAUUUCAGAAACCCUAACAGCCCCUGCCUCAGUGUCGCAGCAGCUGGUGCUGCAACUGCUCCCUCGCGUUGCGCCCGUCGAUCCCGCACAUCGCGCCCCUCGCCGCCGCGAAUCUCGCGCCUUCCCCGCACACAGUACCUGCAGCAACGAACGCAAAUAUGCCAACAAAAACAUAAUAGAUUCUUUUUGGAUUUUGUUCAUUUUUUUCCAUUUUUCGGCUAUUUAAAGCCUUGAAAAAUCUGUAAAAGGGGGGGAUUCAGUCGAAAAUAUAUGCAAAGAAAUAGAGAGAAAAUAGAGAAAUCAAACUUGAUUUUGCAUAGGUGAUUUCUUCUUUGUUUCACUUCGCAGUGUCCGUUUAUUUAUUUAUUUAUGUUUUUAUUUUCUUUUAUUUUUUUCAUUUUAUUUCGUAUAAAAUAACAAAGAAAAAGAAAAGGAAAACCGACCUUUCGUUGGAGUCACCUAGUUGUUGCCGGCUUCGUCGUGAUUGGGGCUCUGGCAUAAGGCUGAACGGCGGCAUUUGGGGGUUGAAGAAACCCUAAGGAAACUGUUUCCUUUGCUGAAGGGGGAAACAAAAUUAACUUCU